AAAAAUUCAGAAAACUCUCCCUUCUCUCCCUUUCAGCCCAGACUCCGCUCAACUUCCGGCGAGUGCUCCGGCUAUCGGCGUCGUCGCGCCGGCCACCGUGUAAAACCAAAAAAGGUAUUUUUUUUGCUUUUUUUUUUUUUACGUUUAUACGUUUUAUAUAUGUAAAAUAAAAGAAAUAAAAUCGAAUACAAUUAGUUUCGAAAGGAAGAAAAAUAAAAAGGAAAUUAGGAAAGGAAAUAGAUCUUAUACCGAAAAAAGUUUAUUGAAUCUGUUUUUUUUUCUUUUAUUUCUUGAAAUCGUGAAAAGAGAGCCUUUACAAUAGAUUUUCUUUGGCUUUAUAGCCGAUUACAUGUUAUUAUUUUUCUUUUUUUGUUCUUUGCGUGUCUUCUCCCCUUGCAGGUGGAGUCGGUGGCGACGUGACGUGACGGAGGCGUGUGAGGCGCAGUGGCAGGUGGGCAUAGUAGGGUAGGGCGGCAGAGGCUAGAAGAGACCUGAAGGCCCUAGGUACGGCGCCUAGGGUUUUUUCUUUCAUUUUGUUUGGCUGAAAAUGUUUAGUUUUGGGCUUAGGGUUUCAGUUUGGUAGUGGGCUGGUAUUGUAAUGUGGGCUUGUGGGUUGUAAUUGGGUAUUGGGUCUUUUAUUUAUAAUGGGCCCCGAGCAAAUUUGGGCUUUUACAGAGUUUAUAAGUGU
Molecule: long non-coding RNA, 688 nt
Filed under: Gossypium raimondii (Peruvian cotton)
Lineage: Eukaryota; Viridiplantae; Streptophyta; Magnoliopsida; Malvales; Malvaceae
Description: long non-coding RNA (GRAI_LNC000011)
Source: RNAcentral